AAGAAAAUAUAAAUAUUUAGAGACUUUUAAGAUGACUUUAUUAUUAACAAUAGUAUAUAGAUAUAUGCACUAAUUUUUUGAUAUAUUGAGCUUGACAUGUCUCAUUAGUAAAUUAUUAAUGGAGUGCAUACUUUAUCUCUAUAUCCUUGCACUAAAGAUAACUAAGUUAAAGCAAUAAUUUUUCGUAAGCAUACUUCUAUUAAGUUAUAACAUCUUCAUAAUAAUAAAUUAGUUUUGUCCUAAUAUUAUAACUAUAUAGAGGUUUCACUACAAUUAAGUCCUUUAAAAAAUUAAAUAAAUAAAUUAUUUUAAACGAAAUAUGUAUAUUUACGGAAUUAAAUAAUUGCAUAUGUUAGCUAGAUGGAUAAUUUUGGGUAAAUGUUCAUGUAGUCUCUAGAUUUGGGGUCAAUUACUUUGUAAUCUCUUGAAUUUUUUAAAAUUAAUUACCUAACUAUUAUUUUUCCCUUGUCGUUAUUUUCGUAAUUGUUGGAUCAAAGUUUUUCAAAUAUAAAUAGUGUUUAUAUUAGUAUAACCUAAAACUCAAGUAAAUUUGACAUGUACCAAGUGAAAAAUAAAGAAUAACUAAUAUAUAUACAAUGUAGACCUUUUGAGUGAUUUUUAUAUUAUUUAGACUAAUUGAAUAAUCGGCUCAAAUGAGAAGAAGCCAAGAAGCAUUUACACAUCAUGUUCUUUCUGAGUUAUUUCUGUUUGAGUAAAAAGUAGUUGAUUACUCUCUCUAUUAUUCUAUUCCAUACAUGCACCAAACAAAGGAAUCCAAUGUCAAAAUCUAUUCCGAUUCUUUUUCGUCAAUAUUUUUUUUUUUUAAAUACUAGUUGAAUAUUACCGGCCAAGAAUGUCAUUUUUGUAGGUAUUUUCAAUACACAUAAAAUGUGGGCACGAUCUAAUAAAGCGACUGUUUAUAACACCUAUCAACAACUUUGCUUUGAAAGUCUUUUAGUUGUCACUUUAUAUCAUCUUAAUUAGUUUAAAGUCUUAUAUAUUUCUCAAUAAACAACGAUCAAUAUUAUUAAAUGACGAUUCAUCUUUAGCUAGCGUUUUGUUAUGAUAGUCUUACAAGAAUUUCAACAAACGUGUGCACAUUUUUUGUACAUAUGGAAUGGGGAUGUCAUAGUUUCAUCUUUUUCUUUAAGCUUGUUUGUUUGUUUUAAAUUUGACACUAAGAUAAAGUUCACUCGACCACAUAUAUAUCAUUAGAGAGUCAAAUUAUUAGCACUCCUUCAAAAUCCUAUUAAAAUCCCUUUUUCAAUUAUAUUUCAUUUAAUGCCAAAAAUACCUUCUUCUUUUUUUUUCUUUUUUUUUUCUAAAUGAACACUCU
RNAcentral lists this long non-coding RNA (1336 nucleotides) under Citrus x clementina. Its description in RNAcentral is "Citrus clementina (C. clementina) long non-coding RNA (CCLE_LNC005461)". The record is from RNAcentral. Lineage: Eukaryota; Viridiplantae; Streptophyta; Magnoliopsida; Sapindales; Rutaceae.